CGGCGAGUGAAGCGGCAAUAGCUCAAAUUUGAAAGCUGGCCCCUUUGGGGUCCGCGUUGUAAUUUGUAGAGGAUGAUUCGGCGAGGGCUCCCGUCUAAGUCCCCUGGAACGGGGCGUCACAGAGGGUGAGAAUCCCGUAUGUGAUGGGUUGCCUUAGCCAUGUGAAUCUCCUUCGACGAGUCGAGUUGUUUGGGAAUGCAGCUCUAAAUGGGAGGUAAAUUUCUUCUAAAGCUAAAUACCGGCCAGAGACCGAUAGCGCACAAGUAGAGUGAUCGAAAGAUGAAAAGCACUUUGGAAAGAGAGUUAAAAAGUACGUGAAAUUGUUGAAAGGGAAGCGCUUGCAGCCAGACUUGUCCGCAGUUGCUCAGCCGGUCUCCUGACCGGCGUACUCUUCUGCGGCCAGGCCAGCAUCAGUUCGGGCGGUCGGAUAAAGACCUCGGGAAUGUAGCUCCUCUCGGGGAGUGUUAUAGCCCGGGGUGGAAUGCGGCCAGCCUGGACUGAGGAUCUCGCUUCGGCUAGGAUGCUGGCGUAAUGGCUGUAAGCGGCCCGUCUUGAAACACGGACCAAGGAGUCUAACAUCUAUGCGAGUGUUUGGGUGUCAAACCCAUACGCGUAAUGAAAGUGAACGGAGGUGGGAACCGCAAGGUGCACCAUCGACCGAUCCUGAUGUCUUCGGAUGGAUUUGAGUAAGAGCAUAGCUGUUGGGACCCGAAAGAUGGUGAACUAUGCCUGAAUAGGGUGAAGCCAGAGGAAACUCUGGUGGAGGCUCGCAGCGGUUCUGACGUGCAAAUCGAUCGUCAAAUUUGGGUAUAGGGGCGAAAGACUAAUCGAACCAUC
RNAcentral lists this ribosomal RNA (837 nucleotides) under Dothiorella casuarinae. RNAcentral describes it as "eukaryotic LSU rRNA". It matches the Rfam family "Eukaryotic large subunit ribosomal RNA", at positions 87 to 944 of the family's 3401-position model. The record is from RNAcentral. Lineage: Eukaryota; Fungi; Ascomycota; Dothideomycetes; Botryosphaeriales; Botryosphaeriaceae.